Long non-coding RNA from Cynoglossus semilaevis (tongue sole), 353 nucleotides. RefSeq lists it as uncharacterized. The transcript is spliced from 2 exons. The record is from RefSeq and is a predicted model, not a curated record. Lineage: Eukaryota; Metazoa; Chordata; Actinopteri; Pleuronectiformes; Cynoglossidae.
UGUGAGUAUAUACAAACAUAUACACACAUACACACGACCUCACCUUUUCUUUGCAUCACACUCCCUUUUUGAGUAUGUACAGGUGUUUGACGUAAAACUGAACUUCAACUUCAAGGUUUUUAAGAUUUGAAAAAUUAACUGGGAAAUAACAAAAGAAAUCCACACACAAAUCCUGUUCCACCCCAAAAAAUAAUAGCUUAAACGUGUGAGCUUAUGUUACAAAAGUUUGUCCAGCAAAAGUAAGUCUAGAAAAGACAGAUAAGAUGUCAUUAAAAAAUGACAUCGUAUCUAAGACAAACCAAAAAUUGCUAAAGGUUAGCUAAACUUAGAUGAAUAUUUCCAAAAGAUUCCUG